RNAcentral lists this ribosomal RNA (550 nucleotides) under uncultured bacterium. RNAcentral describes it as "partial 16S ribosomal RNA". It matches the Rfam family "Bacterial small subunit ribosomal RNA", at positions 355 to 895 of the family's 1533-position model. The record is from RNAcentral.
UGGGGAAUUUUGGACAAUGGGCGAAAGCCUGAUCCAGCAAUGCCGCGUGUGUGAAGAAGGCCUUCGGGUUGUAAAGCACUUUUGUCCGGAAAGAAAUCCUUGGCUCUAAUACAGUCGGGGGAUGACGGUACCGGAAGAAUAAGCACCGGCUAACUACGUGCCAGCAGCCGCGGUAAUACGUAGGGUGCAAGCGUUAAUCGGAAUUACUGGGCGUAAAGCGUGCGCAGGCGGUUUGCUAAGACCGAUGUGAAAUCCCCGGGCUCAACCUGGGAACUGCAUUGGUGACUGGCAGGCUAGAGUAUGGCAGAGGGGGGUAGAAUUCCACGUGUAGCAGUGAAAUGCGUAGAGAUGUGGAGGAAUACCGAUGGCGAAGGCAGCCCCCUGGGCCAAAUACUGACGCUCAUGCACGAAAAGCGUGGGGAGCAAACAGGAUUAGAUACCCUGGUAGUCCACGCCCUAAAACGAUGUCAACUAGUUGUUGGGGAUUCAUUUCCUUAGUAACGUAGCUAACGCGUGAAGUUGACCGCCUGGGGAGUACGGUCGCAAGAUU